Molecule: ribosomal RNA, 253 nt
Filed under: uncultured bacterium
Lineage: Bacteria
Description: partial 16S ribosomal RNA
Rfam family: Bacterial small subunit ribosomal RNA
Source: RNAcentral
UACAGAGGGGGCUAGCGUUGUUCGGAAUUACUGGGCGUAAAGGGCGCGUAGGUGGCCUGUUAAGUCGAACGUGAAAUCCCCGGGCUCAACCCGGGAACUGCGUCCGAGACUGGCAGGCUCGAAUCCGGGAGAGGGAUGUGGAAUUCCAGGUGUAGCGGUGAAAUGCGUAGAUAUCUGGAGGAACACCGGUGGCGAAGGCGGCAUCCUGGACCGGCAUUGACGCUGAGGCGCGAAAGCUAGGGGAGCAAACGGG